GGACGCAAUCAAGCAGCAGCGUGUCAGAGCACGCGAGUGACCGAGAAGCUGUACAAUCUCUCUCUCUCUCUCUCUCUCUCUCUCUCUCUCUCUCUCUCUCUCUCUCUCUCUCUGUCGCACGCGCUCUCUCUUCUAUCCCAUCUCCUCUCAGGUCCUCUCUGUGUCUCGUGCGCUCUUCCAUCGGAUCUCCUGCGUCUCGCGCUCACUGUAUCUGAGGCGCUGCUCCCAUAACCACCAAAGCGACCAGCGGAUAUUUUCUACAAACACAACCAAAUCAGCAUCAUCAUCAUCACCAUCAUCAUCAUCACCAUCAUCAUCAUCAGCAGCAGCAGCAAGAGCGAUAACCUCCCAAUCCCGCGGCGCAGCAGGACGCAGAAGCUGAGGAAUGACGUGCCCCUUCUGCACAGAGCAGAUAUUCAGCCUCAGCACGUAAAGGCAUAUCAUUUCCUAGAGGAAAGUCAACACGUCUCUCUCCUACAGCAUCACAGCCUACAGGAGACGGAGAUCGGCAAGAAGAGAAACGAGUCUGACGUUCUUGAAGAGGAGGUGAAGAAAAAGAGCCAGUCAUGUCAAACCUUGGAGAGUGAGCUCCAGAAUGUUUUGCAGAGGAAAACGCAUUUAAAUGUGCACGCACUCACCGACAUCCAGAAGACCACAGAGUGUGAGCAGGUAAGCGGCCUUGGGCUGUUCAUCCCUGGCCUCUCAGGAUCCUCUCGUCCAAUCAGAGGGCUUUCUGCGUCUCCCAGUGCAGCAUGGGAGUGACCGCCCACUCGCUCUCAGACGGAUGAGUUUAUUACGCAGGUUUAUAGAUGAUGUGUGUCAGCUGGAAGCAGAGGCAGGAAGCAAUAUACCUUCCCUCAACUCCUCCGCUAGGUGAAGUAUGAGUAUGAGUGCCUGUGGGAGGCUCUGUGUGCAGUGACUGUGGAGAGAGAUUGUGCUCUGUGGGAGAGGACUCAGCUCCAAGCCAAGCUGGAGAACCUAGAGCAGGUGCUGAA
Molecule: long non-coding RNA, 995 nt
Organism: Tachysurus fulvidraco (yellow catfish)
Lineage: Eukaryota; Metazoa; Chordata; Actinopteri; Siluriformes; Bagridae
Exons: 5
Source: RefSeq, a predicted model, not a curated record